CGGGUGUAGCUCAAUGGUAGAGCACGAGCUUCCCAAGCUUGUGACGAGGGUCCGAUUCCCUUCACCC
Molecule: transfer RNA, 67 nt
Filed under: bovine gut metagenome
Rfam family: tRNA
About the family: Transfer RNA (tRNA) molecules are approximately 80 nucleotides in length. Their secondary structure includes four short double-helical elements and three loops (D, anti-codon, and T loops). Further hydrogen bonds mediate the characteristic L-shaped molecular structure. tRNAs have two regions of fundamental functional importance: the anti-codon, which is responsible for specific mRNA codon recognition, and the 3' end, to which the tRNAs corresponding amino acid is attached (by aminoacyl-tRNA synthetases). tRNAs cope with the degeneracy of the genetic code in two manners: having more than one tRNA (with a specific anti-codon) for a particular amino acid; and 'wobble' base-pairing, i.e. permitting non-standard base-pairing at the 3rd anti-codon position.
Source: RNAcentral